Molecule: transfer RNA, 59 nt
Filed under: Apaloderma vittatum (bar-tailed trogon)
Lineage: Eukaryota; Metazoa; Chordata; Aves; Trogoniformes; Trogonidae
Rfam family: tRNA
About the family: Transfer RNA (tRNA) molecules are approximately 80 nucleotides in length. Their secondary structure includes four short double-helical elements and three loops (D, anti-codon, and T loops). Further hydrogen bonds mediate the characteristic L-shaped molecular structure. tRNAs have two regions of fundamental functional importance: the anti-codon, which is responsible for specific mRNA codon recognition, and the 3' end, to which the tRNAs corresponding amino acid is attached (by aminoacyl-tRNA synthetases). tRNAs cope with the degeneracy of the genetic code in two manners: having more than one tRNA (with a specific anti-codon) for a particular amino acid; and 'wobble' base-pairing, i.e. permitting non-standard base-pairing at the 3rd anti-codon position.
Source: Rfam by way of RNAcentral
UAGCUCAGUUUGUUAGAGCGUGGUGCUGGUAACACCAAGGUCGCGGGUUCAAUUCCCAC